RNAcentral lists this ribosomal RNA (2157 nucleotides) under human gut metagenome. Its description in RNAcentral is "bacterial LSU rRNA". It matches the Rfam family "Bacterial large subunit ribosomal RNA", at positions 14 to 2260 of the family's 2925-position model. The record is from RNAcentral.
AGAGCGCAAGGGGAAUGCCUUGGCAUCAGGAGCCGACGAAGGACGUGACAAGCUGCGAUAAGCCACGGGGAGGAGCAAAUAUCCGAUAUAUCCGUGGAUUUCCGAAUGGGGGAACCCGCUCAAGCAAUACUUGAGCAUCGUGCGUUGAAUCAAAUAGGCGUACGAAGGGAACGGCCUGAACUGAAACAUCUAAGUAGGGCCAGGAAAAGACAUCAACCGAGAUUCCGCUAGUAGUGGCGAGCGAACGCGGAGGAGGCCAAACCGAGGGACGCAAGUUCUUCGGGGUUGCGGACAGACAUCAAGACCAGAGGUAAUUAAGAGAACGGCGUGGGAAAGCCGGCCAUAGAAGGUGAGAGCCCUGUAUCUGAAAAUGAAGACUGGCAGUCUGGAUCCAGAGUACCGCGGGACACGUGAAACCCCGUGGGAAACCGGGUGGACCACCAUCCAAGCCUAAAUACUACCUGAUGACCGAUAGAGGAGCAGUACCGUGAGGGAAAGGUGAAAAGGACCCCGGGAGGGGAGUGAAAGAGAACCUGAAACCUUGUGCUUACAAGCAGUCAAAGCACGUUAACGUGUGAUGACGUACUUUUUGUAGAACGGUCCGGCGAGUUAUAGUAACGAGCAAGCUUAAGGUAUUCAGUACCGGAGGCGCAGCGAAAGCGAGUCUGAAAAGGGCGCAUGAAGUUCGUUGCCAUAGACCCGAAACCGGGUGACCUACGCAUGAGCAGGUUGAAGUGGGGGUGAAACCCCAUGGAGGACCGAACCGACCCCCGUUGCAAUGGUGGCGGAUGACUUGUGUGUAGCGGUGAAAUUCCAAUCGAACUCGGAGAUAGCUGGUUCUCCCCGAAAUAGCUUUAGGGCUAGCCUCAUAUUAGAUACCCGGAGGUAAAGCACUGAAUGGCCUAGCGCCCGAGAGGGUAGCGAAGCCUAUCAAACUAAGAAUGCCGGAGUAUUGAUGUAUGGGAGUCAGACAGUGUGAGAUAAAUCUCAUUGUCAAAAGGGAAACAGCCCAGAUCUACAGCUAAGGUCCCAAAUUGUAUCUAAGUGGAAAACGAUGUGGAAAUACGCAGACAACCAGGAUGUUGGCUCAGAAGCAGCCACUCAUUUAAAGAGUGCGUAAUAGCUCACUGGUCGAGCGUCUCUGCGCGGAAAAUUUAACGGGGCUAAGAUACAAACCGAAGCUUAGGCUGCAUCGUAAGAUGCGGGGUAGGGGAGCGUUGUGUAAGCGGAGAAACAGUAGCGUAAGCGGCUGUGGAGUUUACAGAAGUGAGAAUGCCGGAAUGAGUAGCGCGAAUGUGGUGAGAAUCCACAUGGCCGGAAACCUCAGGUUUUUGGAGGAAGGUUCGUCCGCUCCAAGUUAGGCGGGAGCUAAGGUCAGGCCGAAAGGCGUAGCCGAUGCACAGACGGUAGAGAUUCCGUCCCCACCGAAAGAUUUAAGCACAGGGACACUUUUUGAAGGUCGGAGCCAGGUGUUGGUUCUGGUAGUGAUCGAGGGAAAUAUAGUACCGAAGUCCGGCUGGAGAAGAGGCGAGAAAAGCUGUGUGUAUAUCUAAGGUGCCCGUACCGCAAACCGACACAGGUAGGUAGGAAGAAGAUUCUAAGGCCAACGGGAGAAGGGUUGUUAAGGAACUCGGCAAAUUGACCCCGUAACUUCGGGAGAAGGGGUGCUCCAGAGAUGGAGCCGCAGAGAAUCGGCCCAAGCAACUGUUUACCAAAAACACAGGUUUGUGCUAAAUCGAAAGAUGACGUAUACGAGCUGACGCCUGCCCGGUGCUGGAAGGUUAAGAGGAGAUGUGCAAGCAUUGAAUCGAAGCCCCAGUGAACGGCGGCCGUAACUAUAACGGUCCUAAGGUAGCGAAAUUCCUUGUCAGGUAAGUUCUGACCCGCAUGAAAGGCGUAAUGAUUUGGGCACUGUCUCAACAGCCCGCCCGGCGAAAUUGUAGUACCGGUGAAGAUGCCGGUUACCCGCGACAAGACGGAAAGACCCCAUGGAGCUUUACUGUAGCCUAAUAUUGGGUUUCGAUGUUGCAUGCACAGGAUAGAUGGGACACAGGGAAACAAUCGCUUUGGCGGUUGCGGAGUGGCCGUUGGGAUACCAUCCUUGCGAUAUUGGAAUUCUAACCUGCGGCUCUGAAUCGAGUCGGGGGACAUUGUUAG